RNAcentral lists this ribosomal RNA (253 nucleotides) under uncultured bacterium. RNAcentral describes it as "partial 16S ribosomal RNA". It matches the Rfam family "Bacterial small subunit ribosomal RNA", at positions 524 to 776 of the family's 1533-position model. The record is from RNAcentral.
GACGAAGGGGGCUAGCGUUGUUCGGAAUCAUUGGGCGUAAAGCGCACGUAGGCGGCUUGUUAAGUCGGGUGUGAAAUCCCUGGGCUCAACCCAGGAAGUGCACUCGAAACUGGCGAGCUUGAGUAUGGAAGAGGGUCGCGGAAUUCCCGGUGUAGAGGUGAAAUUCGUAGAUAUCGGGAGGAACACCAGUGGCGAAGGCGGCGACCUGGGCCAAUACUGACGCUGAGGUGCGAAAGCGUGGGGAGCAAACAGG